CACCUUAAGUGAUCCUCCUGCCUCAGCCUCCCAAAGUGCUGGGAUUACAGAUUUGAGCCACUGUGCCCAGCCUAUAAUAUAGAAGAUUUUCAAAGAUUUUCCCAGAUUUCCUGAAAUUCUUAUGUCAGGCUCUUGGUAAAAGCCUACUAUUAGGCAGUCAAUCCUGAUCUGAUUUCUUCAAACCAAAGUGCUGACACCAGUUCCAAAGAGUAGUCUCAGAGCUGCUAGCAUAAUUACUUUAAUUGGAAGCUCUUUCUCUCCAGUUAUGCAAGGAGUGUUUAGCUUUUUAUAACUUAUCUCAAACCAAUUUUUGAGGUAAGUUUUGAGCAGGUCAACAUUAAGUCUUUAAAAAUUGUAAAACUACUCUCCCCCUACAUACUCACCACCAUCAGUUUAAAAAAACAAACACCCAGACUUCUGAAGACAAUCACAAAUGAAGAUAAAAAAUUGGUUUGAGACAAGUUAUAAAAAGCUAAACACAGAAGAUGAGUUUCAUAGUCCAGGGUGAGAUCACAUCAAUUGUAAGAAAA
Molecule: long non-coding RNA, 530 nt
Organism: Cercocebus atys (sooty mangabey)
Lineage: Eukaryota; Metazoa; Chordata; Mammalia; Primates; Cercopithecidae
Exons: 2
Source: RefSeq, a predicted model, not a curated record